RNAcentral lists this ribosomal RNA (182 nucleotides) under uncultured bacterium. RNAcentral describes it as "partial 16S ribosomal RNA". It matches the Rfam family "Bacterial small subunit ribosomal RNA", at positions 1320 to 1500 of the family's 1533-position model. The record is from RNAcentral.
AUGAAGCUGGAGUUACUAGUAAUCGCAGAUCAGAAUGCUGCGGUGAAUGCGUUCCCGGGUCUUGUACACACCGCCCGUCACACCACGGAAGUUGGGGCGCCCGAAGCCACUUAGCUAACCCUUUUGGGAAGCGAGUGUCGAAGGUGAAAUCAAUAACUGGGGUGAAGUCGUAACAAGGUACC